UACGAAGGCUGCUAGCGUUGCUCGGAAUAACUGGGCGUAAAGCGCAUGUAGGCGGAUUUUUAAGUCAGAGGUGAAAUCCCAGGGCUCAACCCCGGCAUUGCCUUUGAUACUGGAGAUCUGGAGUCUGGGAGAGGUGAGUGGAAUUCCGAGUGUAGAGGUGAAAUUCGUAGAUAUUCGGAGGAACACCAGUGGCGAAGGCGGCUCACUGGCCCGAGACUGACGCUGAGAUGCGAAAGCGUGGGGAGCAAACAGG
Molecule: ribosomal RNA, 253 nt
Filed under: uncultured bacterium
Lineage: Bacteria
Description: partial 16S ribosomal RNA
Rfam family: Bacterial small subunit ribosomal RNA
Source: RNAcentral